This 321-nucleotide ribosomal RNA is filed under the name uncultured eukaryote. Its description in RNAcentral is "partial 18S ribosomal RNA". It matches the Rfam family "Eukaryotic small subunit ribosomal RNA", at positions 1470 to 1796 of the family's 1831-position model. The record is from RNAcentral.
CCCUUAGAUGUUCUGGGCCGCACGCGCGCUACACUGACGAAUGCAACGAGCUUAUAACCUUGGCCGAAAGGUCUGGGUAAUCUUUGAACGCUGUUCGUGAUUGGGAUAGACCUUUGCAAUUAUGGGUCUUCAACGAGGAAUUCCUAGUAAACACAAGUCAUCAGCUUGCAUUGAUUACGUCCCUGCCCUUUGUACACACCGCCCGUCGCACCUACCGAUUGAAUGGUCCGGUGAAAUCUCGGGACGGCGGCUUGGUCGCUUGCGUCCGACUGCUGAAACUUGAUUAAACCAUAUCAUUUAGAGGAAGGUGAAGUCGUAACA